RNAcentral lists this ribosomal RNA (509 nucleotides) under uncultured Glomeromycotina. RNAcentral describes it as "partial small subunit ribosomal RNA". It matches the Rfam family "Eukaryotic small subunit ribosomal RNA", at positions 591 to 1092 of the family's 1831-position model. Lineage: Eukaryota; Fungi; Glomeromycota. The record is from RNAcentral.
CCAAUAGCGUAUAUUAAGGUUGCUGCGGUUAAAAAGCUCGUAGUUGAAUUUCGGGAUUGAUGCAUCGGUCGUGCCUUAAGGGGUAUGAACUGGUGUGGUCAAUUUCUUACCUUCUGGUGAAUUGUGAUGUCCUCCUUAAUUGGGUGUUUCAAUGAACUAGGACUUUUUACUUUGAAAAAAUUAGAGUGUUUAAAGCAGGCAUUAUUUGCUUGAAUACAUUAGCAUGGAAUAAUAAAAUAGGACAAUGAUUCUAUUUUGUUGGUUUCUAGGAUCACUGUAAUGAUUAAUAGGGAUAGUUGGGGGCAUUAGUAUUCAAUUGUCAGAGGUGAAAUUCUUGGAUUAAUUGAAGACUAACUAUUGCGAAAGCAUUUGCCAAGGAUAUUUUCAUUAAUCAAGAACGAAAGUUAGGGGAUCGAAGACGAUUAGGUACGUCGUAGUCUUAACCAUAAACUAUGCCGACUAGGAAUCAGACAACGUUAAAUUUUUAAUGACUUGUUUGGCACCUUACG